This 874-nucleotide ribosomal RNA is filed under the name uncultured bacterium. RNAcentral describes it as "bacterial SSU rRNA". It matches the Rfam family "Bacterial small subunit ribosomal RNA", at positions 28 to 896 of the family's 1533-position model. The record is from RNAcentral.
GAUGAACGCUGGCGGCGUGCCUAAUACAUGCAAGUCGAGCGAACCCUUCGGGGUUAGCGGCGGACGGGUGAGUAACACGUGGGCAACCUACCUUACAGAUGGGGAUAACACCGAGAAAUCGGUGCUAAUACCGAAUAACACUUCACUUCACAUGGAGAGAAGUUAAAAGUUGGCUUUUAGCUAACACUGCAAGAUGGGCCCGCGGCGCAUUAGCUAGUUGGUGAGGUAACGGCUCACCAAGGCAACGAUGCGUAGCCGACCUGAGAGGGUGAUCGGCCACACUGGGACUGAGACACGGCCCAGACUCCUACGGGAGGCAGCAGUAGGGAAUCUUCCGCAAUGGACGAAAGUCUGACGGAGCAACGCCGCGUGAGUGAUGAAGGUUUUCGGAUCGUAAAACUCUGUUGUUAGGGAAGAACAAGUACCGUUCGAAUAGGGCGGUACCAUGACGGUACCUAACCAGAAAGCCACGGCUAACUACGUGCCAGCAGCCGCGGUAAUACGUAGGUGGCAAGCGUUAUCCGGAAUUAUUGGGCGUAAAGCGCUCGCAGGCGGUUUCUUAAGUCUGAUGUGAAAGCCCACGGCUCAACCGUGGAGGGUCAUUGGAAACUGGGAGACUUGAGUGCAGAAGAGGAGAGUGGAAUUCCACGUGUAGCGGUGAAAUGCGUAGAGAUGUGGAGGAACACCAGUGGCGAAGGCGACUCUCUGGUCUGUAACUGACGCUGAGGAGCGAAAGCGUGAGGAGCAAACAGGAUUAGAUACCCUGGUAGUCCACGCCGUAAACGAUGAGUGCUAAGUGUUAGAGGGUUUCCGCCCUUUAGUGCUGAAGUUAACGCAUUAAGCACUCCGCCUGGGGAGUACGGUCGCAAGACUG